This 62-nucleotide transfer RNA is filed under the name Ictidomys tridecemlineatus (thirteen-lined ground squirrel). RNAcentral describes it as "Spermophilus tridecemlineatus (thirteen-lined ground squirrel) tRNA". It matches the Rfam family "tRNA". From Rfam's summary of the family: Transfer RNA (tRNA) molecules are approximately 80 nucleotides in length. The record is from Rfam by way of RNAcentral. Lineage: Eukaryota; Metazoa; Chordata; Mammalia; Rodentia; Sciuridae.
GGGGUUGUGGCUUAGAGGUAGAGCUCUUGCCUGGCAUGCAUGAGGCACUGCGUUCAAUCCUU